RNAcentral lists this ribosomal RNA (2904 nucleotides) under Escherichia coli. Its description in RNAcentral is "23S ribosomal RNA". It matches the Rfam family "Bacterial large subunit ribosomal RNA". Lineage: Bacteria; Pseudomonadati; Pseudomonadota; Gammaproteobacteria; Enterobacterales; Enterobacteriaceae. The record is from RNAcentral.
GGUUAAGCGACUAAGCGUACACGGUGGAUGCCCUGGCAGUCAGAGGCGAUGAAGGACGUGCUAAUCUGCGAUAAGCGUCGGUAAGGUGAUAUGAACCGUUAUAACCGGCGAUUUCCGAAUGGGGAAACCCAGUGUGAUUCGUCACACUAUCAUUAACUGAAUCCAUAGGUUAAUGAGGCGAACCGGGGGAACUGAAACAUCUAAGUACCCCGAGGAAAAGAAAUCAACCGAGAUUCCCCCAGUAGCGGCGAGCGAACGGGGAGCAGCCCAGAGCCUGAAUCAGUGUGUGUGUUAGUGGAAGCGUCUGGAAAGGCGCGCGAUACAGGGUGAUAGCCCCGUACACAAAAAUGCACAUGCUGUGAGCUCGAUGAGUAGGGCGGGACACGUGGUAUCCUGUCUGAAUAUGGGGGGACCAUCCUCCAAGGCUAAAUACUCCUGACUGACCGAUAGUGAACCAGUACCGUGAGGGAAAGGCGAAAAGAACCCCGGCGAGGGGAGUGAAAAAGAACCUGAAACCGUGUACGUACAAGCAGUGGGAGCACGCUUAGGCGUGUGACUGCGUACCUUUUGUAUAAUGGGUCAGCGACUUAUAUUCUGUAGCAAGGUUAACCGAAUAGGGGAGCCGAAGGGAAACCGAGUCUUAACUGGGCGUUAAGUUGCAGGGUAUAGACCCGAAACCCGGUGAUCUAGCCAUGGGCAGGUUGAAGGUUGGGUAACACUAACUGGAGGACCGAACCGACUAAUGUUGAAAAAUUAGCGGAUGACUUGUGGCUGGGGGUGAAAGGCCAAUCAAACCGGGAGAUAGCUGGUUCUCCCCGAAAGCUAUUUAGGUAGCGCCUCGUGAAUUCAUCUCCGGGGGUAGAGCACUGUUUCGGCAAGGGGGUCAUCCCGACUUACCAACCCGAUGCAAACUGCGAAUACCGGAGAAUGUUAUCACGGGAGACACACGGCGGGUGCUAACGUCCGUCGUGAAGAGGGAAACAACCCAGACCGCCAGCUAAGGUCCCAAAGUCAUGGUUAAGUGGGAAACGAUGUGGGAAGGCCCAGACAGCCAGGAUGUUGGCUUAGAAGCAGCCAUCAUUUAAAGAAAGCGUAAUAGCUCACUGGUCGAGUCGGCCUGCGCGGAAGAUGUAACGGGGCUAAACCAUGCACCGAAGCUGCGGCAGCGACGCUGAUGCGUUGUUGGGUAGGGGAGCGUUCUGUAAGCCUGCGAAGGUGUGCUGUGAGGCAUGCUGGAGGUAUCAGAAGUGCGAAUGCUGACAUAAGUAACGAUAAAGCGGGUGAAAAGCCCGCUCGCCGGAAGACCAAGGGUUCCUGUCCAACGUUAAUCGGGGCAGGGUGAGUCGACCCCUAAGGCGAGGCCGAAAGGCGUAGUCGAUGGGAAACAGGUUAAUAUUCCUGUACUUGGUGUUACUGCGAAGGGGGGACGGAGAAGGCUAUGUUGGCCGGGCGACGGUUGUCCCGGUUUAAGCGUGUAGGCUGGUUUUCCAGGCAAAUCCGGAAAAUCAAGGCUGAGGCGUGAUGACGAGGCACUACGGUGCUGAAGCAACAAAUGCCCUGCUUCCAGGAAAAGCCUCUAAGCAUCAGGUAACAUCAAAUCGUACCCCAAACCGACACAGGUGGUCAGGUAGAGAAUACCAAGGCGCUUGAGAGAACUCGGGUGAAGGAACUAGGCAAAAUGGUGCCGUAACUUCGGGAGAAGGCACGCUGAUAUGUAGGUGAAGUCCCUCGCGGAUGGAGCUGAAAUCAGUCGAAGAUACCAGCUGGCUGCAACUGUUUAUUAAAAACACAGCACUGUGCAAACACGAAAGUGGACGUAUACGGUGUGACGCCUGCCCGGUGCCGGAAGGUUAAUUGAUGGGGUUAGCGCAAGCGAAGCUCUUGAUCGAAGCCCCGGUAAACGGCGGCCGUAACUAUAACGGUCCUAAGGUAGCGAAAUUCCUUGUCGGGUAAGUUCCGACCUGCACGAAUGGCGUAAUGAUGGCCAGGCUGUCUCCACCCGAGACUCAGUGAAAUUGAACUCGCUGUGAAGAUGCAGUGUACCCGCGGCAAGACGGAAAGACCCCGUGAACCUUUACUAUAGCUUGACACUGAACAUUGAGCCUUGAUGUGUAGGAUAGGUGGGAGGCUUUGAAGUGUGGACGCCAGUCUGCAUGGAGCCGACCUUGAAAUACCACCCUUUAAUGUUUGAUGUUCUAACGUUGACCCGUAAUCCGGGUUGCGGACAGUGUCUGGUGGGUAGUUUGACUGGGGCGGUCUCCUCCUAAAGAGUAACGGAGGAGCACGAAGGUUGGCUAAUCCUGGUCGGACAUCAGGAGGUUAGUGCAAUGGCAUAAGCCAGCUUGACUGCGAGCGUGACGGCGCGAGCAGGUGCGAAAGCAGGUCAUAGUGAUCCGGUGGUUCUGAAUGGAAGGGCCAUCGCUCAACGGAUAAAAGGUACUCCGGGGAUAACAGGCUGAUACCGCCCAAGAGUUCAUAUCGACGGCGGUGUUUGGCACCUCGAUGUCGGCUCAUCACAUCCUGGGGCUGAAGUAGGUCCCAAGGGUAUGGCUGUUCGCCAUUUAAAGUGGUACGCGAGCUGGGUUUAGAACGUCGUGAGACAGUUCGGUCCCUAUCUGCCGUGGGCGCUGGAGAACUGAGGGGGGCUGCUCCUAGUACGAGAGGACCGGAGUGGACGCAUCACUGGUGUUCGGGUUGUCAUGCCAAUGGCACUGCCCGGUAGCUAAAUGCGGAAGAGAUAAGUGCUGAAAGCAUCUAAGCACGAAACUUGCCCCGAGAUGAGUUCUCCCUGACUCCUUGAGAGUCCUGAAGGAACGUUGAAGACGACGACGUUGAUAGGCCGGGUGUGUAAGCGCAGCGAUGCGUUGAGCUAACCGGUACUAAUGAACCGUGAGGCUUAACCUU